Molecule: ribosomal RNA, 465 nt
Filed under: uncultured bacterium
Lineage: Bacteria
Description: partial 16S ribosomal RNA
Rfam family: Bacterial small subunit ribosomal RNA
Source: RNAcentral
GACGAACGCUGGCGGCGUGCUUAACACAUGCAAGUCGAACGGAAAGGCCCUGCUUGCAGGGUACUCGAGUGGCGAACGGGCGAGUAACACGUGGGUGAUCUGCCCUGCACUUCGGGUUAAGCCUGGGCAACUGGGUCUAAUACCGGAUAGGAGCCAUUUUUAGUGUGAUGGUUGGAAAGUUUUUUCGGUGUAGGGUGAGCUCGCGGCCUAUCAGCUUGUUGGUGGGGUGAUGGCCUACCAAGGCGGCGACGGGUAGCCGGCCUGAGGGGGUGGACGGCCACAUUGGGACUGAGAGACGGCCCAGACUCCUACGGGAGGCAGCAGUGGGGAAUAUUGCACAAUGGGCGCAAGCCUGAUGCAGCGACGCCGCGUGGGGGAUGACGGCCUUCGGGUUGUAAACUCCUUUCGCUAGGGACGAAGCUUUUUGUGACGGUACCUAGAUAAGAAGCACCGGCUAACUACGUG